GAAUGCCACUAGAUAUGGAUGGACUUAUGAUGGGUGUAAGGAAUGUACCAAAGUUGUCAAGAUGGAUGAUGGACAGUUGAAAUGUAAAAAUGCUCAUGUUAAUCAGAAGCCUGUUCCGAGGUACAAAGUUGAGGUUCAGGUUGAACAUAAGGGAAGUAAGGCAAGAUUUCUGUUCUGGGACGAGCUAACCGUGUCCAUUUUAGGAAUAUCUGCUACAGACUUGAGGGAGCAGAUGAUUCAGGCUGGCCAUACCAAUCCAAAGACCUACCCUAAGCUCCUUGACAAAC
Molecule: long non-coding RNA, 287 nt
Organism: Medicago truncatula (barrel medic)
Lineage: Eukaryota; Viridiplantae; Streptophyta; Magnoliopsida; Fabales; Fabaceae
Exons: 3
Source: RefSeq, a predicted model, not a curated record